Molecule: small nuclear RNA, 287 nt
Filed under: Carlito syrichta (Philippine tarsier)
Lineage: Eukaryota; Metazoa; Chordata; Mammalia; Primates; Tarsiidae
Description: 7SK RNA (ENSTSYG00000031411.1)
Rfam family: 7SK RNA (bases 1-186)
About the family: 7SK was discovered as an abundant small nuclear RNA in the mid-70s but a possible function has only recently been suggested. Two independent studies have found that 7SK RNA binds the CDK9/cyclin T complex (known as elongation factor P-TEFb).
Source: RNAcentral
AGCUGUGAGGGCGAUCUGACUGUGACAUCUGCCACCCCAUUGAUUGCCAGGGUUGAUUCGGCUGAUUCGACUGGCAAACCGAGUGUCCCCUUCCUCCCUCACCCUCCAUGUGUGCCCCUCCUGAAGCUGAAUGCUCAAUUGAAGAGGAUGCCCAUCCUCGCUAGAGAAGGACCAUUCACUUCUCCCUGCCAGGACCUCCAGAAAGCUGCUGGAGGUUCAGACACGCUGCAGGAAGGCUGGGAAAUGAACACAGUACCUCUGAAAAUGUGGAGACCGUGAGACAUUUU